This is a small nuclear RNA of Sciurus carolinensis (gray squirrel), 104 nucleotides long. The record is from RefSeq and is a predicted model, not a curated record. NCBI's taxonomy places the organism in Eukaryota, Metazoa, Chordata, Mammalia, Rodentia, Sciuridae.
GUGCUCACUUCGGCAGCACAUAUACUAAAAUUGGAACAAUACAGAGAUUAUCAUGGCCCUUGUGCAAGGAUGACACACAAAUUUGUGAAGCAUUCUAUAUUUUG